Molecule: ribosomal RNA, 305 nt
Filed under: uncultured bacterium
Lineage: Bacteria
Description: bacterial SSU rRNA
Rfam family: Bacterial small subunit ribosomal RNA
Source: RNAcentral
GCCUACGGGACGCAGCAGGGAAUUUUCGUCAAUGGGCGCAAGCCUGAACGAGCAAUGCCGCGUGAACGAGGAAGGUCUUCGGAUCGUAAAGUUCUGUUGAAGGGGAAAAAGAGCGGAGAGAGGAAAUGAACUCCGAUUGAUAUUACCCUUCGAGGAAGUCACGGCUAACUACGUGCCAGCAGCCGCGGUAAUACGUAGGUGACGAGCGUUAUCCGGAAUGAUUGGGCGUAAAGGGUGUGUAGGCGGCCUGCUAAGUCUGGAGUGAAAGGUACCGGCUCAACCGGUACAGGCUCUGGAAACUGGCG